AGAGGGCGUGAAACUGCAUAGAAGGAAACGUGAGGUGCUGUUUUUGCUGUCAGUGUUCAGCGGCGUUGAUUAACGUCACUGCAGUGCAUUCGUUGACAGCGGCAUUGGAACUGAUGGAUUGACCUGUUUGGCUUGAUUUUGGUCGCUGCCUUUCGUAGUGGUCAAAUUUAGUUGGGCAGUUCUAUCUAUUGGCUGAAUUUGCAUUCUGUGGGCUUUAUUGCGUCAAGGAUGUCUGGCGAGACGUUGAUUUGCAUAAUCUUUGUCUUAUUGGCUUCGUUUUCGCAUAAAAGACUUGAUGCUUCCAGUGUUAACGACAGUUUACCUCUCGACCCGUCUUGAAACACGGACCAAGGAGUCUAACAUGUGCGCGAGUCAAUGGGUAUCAAACUCAGUGGCGCAAUGAAAGUGGAUGUUGGCUCUGUCGACUGACACACGAACUGAGUUAAUCAGUGCAGUGUGGUCCCAUCCGCACUGUUUCUCAGUGGGGUGGAGAAAGAGCGUAUUUGUUGGGACCCGAAAGAUGGUGAACUAUGCCUGGACAGGAUGAGGUCAGAGGAAACUCUGAUGGAAGUCCGAAGCGGUUCUGACGUGCAAAUCGA
Molecule: ribosomal RNA, 599 nt
Filed under: Desmoscolecidae sp. 716_8-1500_Q
Lineage: Eukaryota; Metazoa; Nematoda; Chromadorea; Desmoscolecida; Desmoscolecidae
Description: eukaryotic LSU rRNA
Rfam family: Eukaryotic large subunit ribosomal RNA
Source: RNAcentral